GGGUAUUGUUGAAAAGGUCGGAAGGACCAAGAUUAUGUCCGCCAGCCUAAGUGGGACGAACAACCAAGUUGUGCGAUGCAGCUUUAAAGGGGCUGGUGAUUGACAGAAUGGUGUAGUAGUAGAUGGGGUGGAGCCGCUGGGUGGGGUCGAGACUGGCAGCUGAGAGAUACCAAAAGGAAGAAAAAAGAAAACCAUUGCUCUUGAUAUUGCUAAUGCCGGGGGAGGUAAGCUAACGAGAAAGUAGGGAAAAGGAAGGUUUUAGAGUUCACCUCCACUCCUUCCCCUGGCUAACACUCUUUACACUCUUCUGCCUUCCCUUGAGAUAAUUAAAAUAGACUGUACACCGGCCCUAGUCGGUGCCCAUUCCCCCUAACUCUUCACUCAACUACGUGUGUAGUCCGAGGGAGUGAGGACCCCGGGUCCAAGAGCUCAAUCCCGGCCCCGCCCCGUCGGCCCAGGCCCCGGGGCUGGGAGGAGAGGAUGCCUUCGGAGGCGCAGAAUCCGAAAAUUUUGCUGAAGUUGCUUAUCAGAUUAAGAAGCUUUUGGGCUGAGAUGAUGCGGUUUUCUAGAUAUAGGAUCACUUCAUCUGCAAACAAAGAUGAUUUGACUUCCUCUCUUUAUAUUCGAAUACCUUUAUUUCUUUCUCUUCCUGAUUGCCCUGGCCAAAACUUCCAAUACUAUGUUGAACAGCAUUGGUGAGAGAGUGCAUUCUUGACUUGUGCCAGUUUUCAAGGUAUCUAAUUGUCUUUUUUCGCUGAGCAUACCAAAGAGAGUAACAAGUACAAAGUACUUGAUGUUUAAAGGAAUGCAGAAUAUCCAAUGCUACAAAAGGAACAAUGUAUCUGGAAUAAAAUGAGUGAAGGGGAUAGUGAUACAAGGAGAAGUUGAAAAGAGAUGUGGUUGGAGCUGGAAGCUGUUAUCCUCAGCAAACUAAUGCAGGAGGAGAAAACCAAAUACUGCAAGUUCUCACUUAUAAGUGGGAACUGAAUGAUGAGAACAUUUGGACAUGAAGCUGGGCAGAGAAAUCGAGCUGCAAAAUGACCUACAGAUAUUACAGUUUUAUUCUUGGAAAAUGGAGGUUGUCUAUUAGUGUGAUGGUAACAACCAACUAAUAAAAUUUGGAGACUAGACUGCUUGUCAUGUCUGGGGUUCACUGGAAAUCAAUGAUUCACUGGAACAAUUCUCCUGUCAAAAAAAAUGUGAGGUUUGUAACUUGCCCUAAGUAUAACAAGGGAUAUAUUUUAACAAAGGAUGUAUUUUUUCUUAAGAAGCAACCAUUUCUCAGCUUAUACAUAAUAGCAAUAAUAAAGUCUUUGACCC
Molecule: long non-coding RNA, 1320 nt
Organism: Homo sapiens (human)
Lineage: Eukaryota; Metazoa; Chordata; Mammalia; Primates; Hominidae
Source: Ensembl